Molecule: ribosomal RNA, 440 nt
Filed under: uncultured bacterium
Lineage: Bacteria
Description: partial 16S ribosomal RNA
Rfam family: Bacterial small subunit ribosomal RNA
Source: RNAcentral
CCUACGGGUGGCAGCAGUAGGGAAUAUUGCUCAAUGGGGGAAACACUGAACCAGCCACGCCGCGUGGGGGAUGAAGGUUUUCGGAUUGUUAACCCCUUUUGUUAGAGAAUCUAAUGACGGUAUCCAACGAAUAAGCAGCGUAUAACUCCGUGCCACCAGCCGCGGUAAUACGGAAGGUGCAAGCGUUACUCGGAAUCAAUGGGCGUAAAGAGCGCGUAGGCGGGUUAGCAAGUCAGAUGUGAAAUCCUAUGGCUUAACCAUAGAACUGCAUUUGCAACUGUUAUUCUAGAGUAUGGGAGAGGUAGGUGGAAUGCUUGGUGUAGGGGUAAAAUCCGUAGAGAUCAAGAGGAAUACUCAUUGCGAAGGCGACAUGCCAGAACAUCACUGACGCUGAUGCACGAAAGCGUGGGGAGCAAACAGGAUUAGAUACCCCGGUAGUC